GCGAUCACUUCAACAAUGCACAUACUAAAAUGGGGACAAUACACAGAUUAGUAUAGCAUCUGUGCAAGGAUGACAUGCAAAUUGAUGAAACCUUCCAGAUUUUU
This is a non-coding RNA of Erinaceus europaeus (western European hedgehog), 104 nucleotides long. The record is from Rfam. NCBI's taxonomy places the organism in Eukaryota, Metazoa, Chordata, Mammalia, Eulipotyphla, Erinaceidae.